Molecule: ribosomal RNA, 1411 nt
Filed under: Klebsiella sp. 092303
Lineage: Bacteria; Pseudomonadati; Pseudomonadota; Gammaproteobacteria; Enterobacterales; Enterobacteriaceae
Description: bacterial SSU rRNA
Rfam family: Bacterial small subunit ribosomal RNA
Source: RNAcentral
GCAAGUCGAGCGGUAGCACAGAGAGCUUGCUCUCGGGUGACGAGCGGCGGACGGGUGAGUAAUGUCUGGGAAACUGCCUGAUGGAGGGGGAUAACUACUGGAAACGGUAGCUAAUACCGCAUAAUGUCGCAAGACCAAAGUGGGGGACCUUCGGGCCUCAUGCCAUCAGAUGUGCCCAGAUGGGAUUAGCUAGUAGGUGGGGUAACGGCUCACCUAGGCGACGAUCCCUAGCUGGUCUGAGAGGAUGACCAGCCACACUGGAACUGAGACACGGUCCAGACUCCUACGGGAGGCAGCAGUGGGGAAUAUUGCACAAUGGGCGCAAGCCUGAUGCAGCCAUGCCGCGUGUAUGAAGAAGGCCUUCGGGUUGUAAAGUACUUUCAGCGGGGAGGAAGGCGAUAAGGUUAAUAACCUUGUCGAUUGACGUUACCCGCAGAAGAAGCACCGGCUAACUCCGUGCCAGCAGCCGCGGUAAUACGGAGGGUGCAAGCGUUAAUCGGAAUUACUGGGCGUAAAGCGCACGCAGGCGGUCUGUCAAGUCGGAUGUGAAAUCCCCGGGCUCAACCUGGGAACUGCAUUCGAAACUGGCAGGCUAGAGUCUUGUAGAGGGGGGUAGAAUUCCAGGUGUAGCGGUGAAAUGCGUAGAGAUCUGGAGGAAUACCGGUGGCGAAGGCGGCCCCCUGGACAAAGACUGACGCUCAGGUGCGAAAGCGUGGGGAGCAAACAGGAUUAGAUACCCUGGUAGUCCACGCCGUAAACGAUGUCGAUUUGGAGGUUGUGCCCUUGAGGCGUGGCUUCCGGAGCUAACGCGUUAAAUCGACCGCCUGGGGAGUACGGCCGCAAGGUUAAAACUCAAAUGAAUUGACGGGGGCCCGCACAAGCGGUGGAGCAUGUGGUUUAAUUCGAUGCAACGCGAAGAACCUUACCUGGUCUUGACAUCCACAGAACUUACCAGAGAUGGUUUGGUGCCUUCGGGAACUGUGAGACAGGUGCUGCAUGGCUGUCGUCAGCUCGUGUUGUGAAAUGUUGGGUUAAGUCCCGCAACGAGCGCAACCCUUAUCCUUUGUUGCCAGCGGUUAGGCCGGGAACUCAAAGGAGACUGCCAGUGAUAAACUGGAGGAAGGUGGGGAUGACGUCAAGUCAUCAUGGCCCUUACGACCAGGGCUACACACGUGCUACAAUGGCAUAUACAAAGAGAAGCGACCUCGCGAGAGCAAGCGGACCUCAUAAAGUAUGUCGUAGUCCGGAUUGGAGUCUGCAACUCGACUCCAUGAAGUCGGAAUCGCUAGUAAUCGUAGAUCAGAAUGCUACGGUGAAUACGUUCCCGGGCCUUGUACACACCGCCCGUCACACCAUGGGAGUGGGUUGCAAAAGAAGUAGGUAGCUUAACCUUCGGGAGGGCGCUUACCAC